GUGAAUCAUCGAAUCUUUGAACGCAGAUUGCACUCUCCGGCUUUCCGGGAGAGUAUGCCUGUUUGAGGGUUAGCCUAAAAAAAAUCGACAUCGUUGCUGUUUCUUGGUGACUUUCGUCGGAGAUUGGGUUAUCUUAAACCCUUUCGGUUUAAGCGACUUAAAAUUUUGUUUUACGAUUCCACGAACGUUUCUAAGAUUUUUUUCUUUACACGUUUAAGGUGUCGAAUGCCUUUAUUAGACGUGACCGUCGCAUCGGAUUGCGUCCAUAAAUCUUUCAUUAACUGACCUCAAAUAGGUAAG
This 300-nucleotide unclassified non-coding RNA is filed under the name uncultured Glomeromycotina. RNAcentral describes it as "sequence contains 5.8S rRNA gene, ITS2". The stretch from base 1 to 72 matches the Rfam family "5.8S ribosomal RNA", at positions 84 to 154 of the family's 154-position model. Lineage: Eukaryota; Fungi; Glomeromycota. The record is from RNAcentral.